AUACGGAGGAUGCGAGCGUUAUCCGGAUUUAUUGGGUUUAAAGGGAGCGUAGGUGGGAUAUUAAGUCAGCUGUGAAAGUUUGGGGCUCAACCUUAAAAUUGCAGUUGAUACUGGUUUCCUUGAGUACGGUAUAGGUGGGCGGAAUUCGUGGUGUAGCGGUGAAAUGCUUAGAUAUCACGAAGAACUCCGAUCGCGAAGGCAGCUCACCGGGCCGGAACUGACACUGAUGCUCGAAAGUGCGGGUAUCAAACAGGAUUAGAUACCCUGGUAGUCCGCACAGUAAACGAUGAAUACUCGCUGUUUGCGAUACACUGUAAGCGGCCAAGCGAAAGCGUUAAGUAUUCCACCUGGGGAGUACGCCGGCAACGGUGAAACUCAAAUGAAUCGACGGGG
This 393-nucleotide ribosomal RNA is filed under the name uncultured bacterium. Its description in RNAcentral is "partial 16S ribosomal RNA". It matches the Rfam family "Bacterial small subunit ribosomal RNA", at positions 523 to 918 of the family's 1533-position model. The record is from RNAcentral.